UCAGUAGGGUGAGAUUGCCAAUACCAUCACAUAAACAGGAAGUCUGGAGAUGGAGGCACUUUGGGAUUAGGUUAACGAUUUCAAUUACAGAUAACACUGCUUGCUGGACAUCAGAAAUGAAAUGUCCAGCAAUUGAAGCUAGGGGACUGAAGCUGAGGAGCAGUCCUGCUUACAUCUUGGGUCUUUAUAGUGUGACAGCUGACAUCAUAAAGUUGGACAAAGUUUCUGAGGGAGGGCUGGGGAAAGGAGCAGACGGCUGAGAACUGGUCCUUGGGGGAUCUGCCACUGUCCUGGGAUGGGAAGAAUCAAGGAAGCAACUGACAGAGAAGGAAGGAUUAUGCCAAAAUCUCUUCAAUUCUUUGAACUACAGGAAGAAAAGGUUUUGGGGAGGAGCAAAGAGGGGAGCUCAGAACUGGGAGAACUGAGAGUUUGUCUUGGUGCUGAUUUCAGGAGUUGGGUCACCUUGAGAGAGUCACCAGCUUUUUGGACUUCUUGGAGAAUGGCAGUGCUGUGAUAGCUUGAAUUUGAAACUCUACAAGAUUAAUACCACUGAUGUGUAAAGUCUUCAGAGGAGAACAUGGAUGAGGGCCAGAUGGAGCUGAAUCUGGGCAAUAGACAACAAUGACAUUUGGGAGUGACCAGGGCUGCCCUAAGCCAAACCAAGAUCCAUCAUCUUUCCCGUAUCCAAUCAGCCUCAUUAAACUGCUUCCAUUUCCCACGUGAAGUGUGUUCUCUUAUAAGAUUCAAAAA
This is a long non-coding RNA of Acinonyx jubatus (cheetah), 750 nucleotides long. RefSeq lists it as uncharacterized. Lineage: Eukaryota; Metazoa; Chordata; Mammalia; Carnivora; Felidae. The transcript is spliced from 4 exons. The record is from RefSeq and is a predicted model, not a curated record.